Molecule: long non-coding RNA, 2440 nt
Filed under: Homo sapiens (human)
Lineage: Eukaryota; Metazoa; Chordata; Mammalia; Primates; Hominidae
Description: HSALNT0099014
Source: RNAcentral
GUAAAGUAUUCUUUAUAGCCAAAUAAAUAAAUAAAUAAAAGAAAAAAGUUUAUUCAAACCUAAAACCUAACUUCCAUUAUAAGGGCUUAAAAGUAAAAGUUAAAGGACACCAUCAGGAAACAAUCGGGCAAGCCAGGGAUGUGUGACCUUCUCUAAGACAGCUGGCCCAGAUUCCUCAAGUCAAUGUCGUAAAUCAAAACCAAACAGAAGUUAAGGUGGGGGAGAUUUUCCAGAUUAGCCUCCAGAUGGAAUCCAUAAGCCUUGAUUAGCUCUCGGGGGAAACUGCAUACAAACAUUUAAGGUACAAUUGCAAAAAUUUUAAAAUGACUUGGAUAUUAGUUGUGAUUGUAGAAUCAUUGUUAAGUUUCCUAGGUAUGAUAGUGGUAUUGCGGUUAUACAGGAGAUUUUCUUUAUUCUUAGGAGAUUCAUAUUGAAGCACUUACGGAUCAUGAUGCCAUACUGACAACUUAUUUUCAAAAAUGGAUAAUCAGCAAGUAAUACAGAGAGCUGCUUCCUUCAACAGCUGCAUUCAGCACAAAACCGAGGGCCGAUUAUGUGGAGAAAUAUCCUUCAGAGGCUGGUGGAGGCCGCUCUGCUUCAAGCUGUGAGCCGAGUCAGGGCUGCUUCACUUGUCUCUCAUCCUCUGGACCAGUGACCACCUGGGGUGGCAACAGGGCCAGAGGACGAGCAGAGACACAAGAGGCCUCCUAAGGCCUCAGCUCAGAACUAACAAACUCGCUUCUGCCCACAUUCCAUUGGCCAAAGCCCUGCAUGAGUUGUGGAAAAGUACUCUCCACUUUGGUGAACAUUAGUAAGAGAAAAGAGGGAAGGAAGAAUUGCAGGCAAGUAAUACCAUCUACCUCGGCCUCCUAUGCAGCUUGGUGUGUACCUGCACCUAAGUUCUGGCCUGUAGGAUAUGAGGGGAAGUGAGGUGUGCAACUCCAGGACCUGCCCCUGUAAAGACUGGGCCCUGCCUUUCCCCUGCCCAUCUGCUGGGGACAUGGUAGGACUGCAGCAGUUGCCUGGCCCAGAGAUAGACGGCACAGCUAUCCUGCUGGUCCUACCUCUAGACCGCCACAUGUACCUCACUUACACUGCUUGGGUUUUGCAUCUUAAAACCCCAAUUAGCACACCAUUCAUUCAUUCAUUCCCCCAUCAACAAGUAUGUACUGAGUGUCUUUUUGCCAGGCAUUGCACUAGGUUUUGGAGAGAUGACAGUGAACAAAAACAAACUUGGCUGUUCUGUAUCUUGGCUGUGGCAGUGGUUACACAAGCCUACACAUGUGAUAAAACUGCAUAGAACUAAAUACACACACACAGAGGAAUGCCAGUCAAACUGGGAAUUAAAGAAUCAAAAAGUCACUGGUGACUCAACAUGGCAGCAGUCCAGCUCAACCAUACAGAUGACAGCAGUGUGCUGAAGUAUGACAAAGGAAUGAUUUAAAAGGAAUUGAGGCAGAGCUGCCAGGCAGGCAUGCUCACCUUGGACUUUGAAGCAAGAGAGACAUAAAUAAAGGUCUUUGUUCUGUAAGUAGAGUGUUCAUAUAAUUUAUCAUCCAAACUGAGACACCUGUGAAAAUAAUUACACUGGAACAACUUGUGUGACUGAUCAGCUGGUCACUCCAUCUUUAAGUCAUUGUCUUGUUGAGUCUGUUAUCAGAGCCCAUGGAGUGCCAUGCAUGGACAGCUUAUUUAGGCACAACAGAGAAAAAUUAAAGGGAAGGAGGAGCAAGGAAGAGUGGAAAGGAUAAAGAAAUGGUGAGCAUUGGCAGGAAACAAUGCAAGGAGAAAAGGGAACAGGAAUCGGAUUUUCUACUAAUUUGCUGUGUGUUCCUGUGUCAGUUUAUAAAUUAGUGUCUAUAUUUACAACCGAUUGGAAGAACGAACUUUUUAGAUCCUCUCAUCCAACAAAGCUGCAGAUUUCUUUAUUGAGAUGGAGUUGAGAAAGCUUUAAAACAGGCCAAAGCAACAUGAGGACAUGUGUCAUGAGAAGAGAAAUGGUCUUCCAUAAAUUGAGUGCUGGGGAAGGCUUGGUGUAGGUAAUGUAGAGGUUCUCAAACUGUGGAGAAGCUCAAAAUGUGUUCCUUUGAGCCUUGGUCUUCUAGUUAGGCCACUGUCUAAGCCACUAUACAAAAAGACACCAAACACACUGGCUUCAACAAGACAAGCCUCUGUUUCUCUUUCGGGUGACAGGAGAAGCAGAGGACUAAGCUUUCUUUUCCAAGUCAUCACCUGAAAGUUGCCCCUUCACUUCUGCUCACAUUGCAUUGGCCAGAGACUUGAAAGGAAGCUGGGCACGUGCUGUGGGGAAAAGAAAGAGAGAUCAGAUUGUUACUGUGUCUGUAUAGAAAGAAGUAGACGUAGGAGACUCCAUUCUGUUCUGUACUAAGAAAAAUUCUGCCUUGAGAUUCUGUUAAUCUGUGACCUUACCCCCAACCCU